GACCCGGUGGUGAAGUGAAUCACACCCACUCUCUGUGCACAGAUUUUCGAACGUUGUAAGUGGGAUCCCUGGUUCGAAUCCGGGUCGGGUUG
This is a non-coding RNA of Mycena crocata, 92 nucleotides long. Lineage: Eukaryota; Fungi; Basidiomycota; Agaricomycetes; Agaricales; Mycenaceae. The record is from the annotation of a GenBank genome assembly.